UUCCUUCUUGCUUAUGCAGGCACUGCCGUUACACUAAUUGACACGAUGAAGUUUUCCUCAGCCAUCCUGCUGUUUGCGCUGCUAGGAGCGUUCCUGAUUGUCAUCGCUGCCGCAGAAAGAGCCAACAAGACGCAAGGAGGAACAGGUCAUGGCAAACGAUAUCCCGACGCCUCUGCCUGCAGAAAAAGCUGCUUGAAGCAGGGCUUCAAGUUUGGGCAUUGCCGUAAUACUAUUCUGCGGCCCUGUGUGUGCUCCUAGUUUUUACGCGACACCAUUACUUGUUUGCAAUAAAUGUGUACCACGCAGGGCGUACGCUGCGUCCUUGUGAGCUGAA
Long non-coding RNA from Rhipicephalus sanguineus (brown dog tick), 334 nucleotides. RefSeq lists it as uncharacterized. The record is from RefSeq and is a predicted model, not a curated record. The transcript is spliced from 3 exons. NCBI's taxonomy places the organism in Eukaryota, Metazoa, Arthropoda, Arachnida, Ixodida, Ixodidae.